GACCCCCGAGAACGUCGCUGCCGAUGCACGACAGCACCAAGACUAGCUUGGCCAACUGCAAUCAAAGAGAUUUUGCGAUGAAAUCGCUUGCUGGAACUCUUUAUUUCGAAGGAGAAUGUAUACGUCAAUGGGUCAUCUCUCGAGGAAGAUGACCGAGAUAUUGCGGGGACCGAGACGGUGGACAUUGCGGUGUCCGCUGCGAUAAUCGCGUGUUACCGAGGGAAAGUGGGGCACAGACAUCCCUCCGUUAUGUACGGUAUGUUCAGCAUCGCGUAGCCGAGGGAAGAAGCCGAAAUGCUCUAUCGAUGCGGAAUCUGGUCCUGAUCGCAUCGUUAUAUCUUUUACGAUAAAAAUUGCGAGAUAUUAUCGACAUUACGCGUUAAGCUCAUUUCAGAUAGAAAGAUUUUACCCAAAAAGAUUUUAUAAACCAUUGUUCUCUUCGAUUUUUACGGCGGUCACAUUACGAUAUACGUAGCAAUUUGCUCGCCCAAUUAUUAAAUUUGUUAAUAUCGUCGGCUUUUAUUAUUGCAAAAAAAAAAAAAA
This is a long non-coding RNA of Pogonomyrmex barbatus (red harvester ant), 543 nucleotides long. The record is from RefSeq and is a predicted model, not a curated record. NCBI's taxonomy places the organism in Eukaryota, Metazoa, Arthropoda, Insecta, Hymenoptera, Formicidae.